ACAAAACAUAUGAAGAAUAAACAAACGGUACAGUACGUCCGCCAGGGUAGUGGCCGAACAGUUAAGUACAGCUGAUGAAGCAAUGGGUUGUUAAGGGUUCUAAGGUUAUCUUAUGAAAUACAUUGCACGUAACAAUACGCCCUGCCUCAUACUCUCCCUCCUACAGGCAGGUCUGGUGUUUGGUCUACUGGAUCGCCCUCCACACUUCAGCAUCCUCGGCUUCUUCUGUCUCAGUCGUGCCUGUUUCACAUCGAUUGCAGGGUUCAUCAUCUCCUACCUGGUGAUCGUCCUACAGUUCCGUGGUGCCCAGACGGUCCAGGAGUAUGGUCAUGAGGUGUCACAGGUCACAAGCGUCAACCAUUGACCUGUAUCUUUACUUGAGGCAACUAGAUUCACCUCAGCUUUGUGGUCACCUCGCUGCUGUGUCAACCUUUGCCAUCCGCUCUAGCAUUUGUGUUGGCCACCGUGGCACCUGUCAGAGCCGUAGCCAUACAUCUUUGUGCCCUGGGCAAGUGCAGUAAUUUAAUUAAGAACGUGUUUAGUGAUAAUAGCUUGUGUGUGUUAUUGAAAAUACUUGCAAAAUUUAACGAGUAACAAAAAUACAAAUGAUAAAUUUACAAAAUAAUAAAUAAACAUAUCUGGCUUCACUCAGGUUAGGUAUACGAGUAUAGGUACCGUAUAACCUGAACUGCCACAGCUUGUCCUCCCUGACACAGGUAACACCUCUUGCAAUUGCUGUGACAAUAUCUCAGUCGUGGAAGAUUUUUGGUUCUUGCCUGGACCACCCAUGGGUCAGUGGUUAAAAAUACUGUAAUACAAAGAGACAUAACUUUGGGACCCAUGUAAUAUUCGUGCCAAGUUUAAAGUCUCUAACUGCUACCGUUUUGGAGCUAUGAUUGAACACAGAAAGACAGACAAACUCACAGACACCUUUUUAUUAUUAUAGCUUGUAAAUAUAGGCAGUCAAACGGGUAGUUGUACAGUAGCUAAAACAACUAUUUGUGCAGGAGGGGGUCGAUAUGCUCCGAAAUUUUACGUGUGACUAGUGACAGCCCUCAUAUACCAAAAUUUAUCGUUCAUGGUCUCAUAUUGUUUCCCACAAGGUAUGCACAGAUAGUUGUUUUGGCUACUGUACAUCAUCCAGCACUACGUAUACACUGCCUGAUGUGCAGCACCAAGUUACAUUCUUACACAAAUGUUUUGUGAGAAAUUUAUUCAAUGUCUACUUUAAUACACCAUCUAGACCUAGA
Homarus americanus (American lobster) is the source of this 1250-nucleotide long non-coding RNA. RefSeq lists it as uncharacterized. The transcript has 2 exons. The record is from RefSeq and is a predicted model, not a curated record. Lineage: Eukaryota; Metazoa; Arthropoda; Malacostraca; Decapoda; Nephropidae.